This is a long non-coding RNA of Musa acuminata AAA Group (dessert banana), 1232 nucleotides long. RefSeq lists it as uncharacterized. The transcript is spliced from 2 exons. Lineage: Eukaryota; Viridiplantae; Streptophyta; Magnoliopsida; Zingiberales; Musaceae. The record is from RefSeq and is a predicted model, not a curated record.
GUUUCACCUCAAAAGCAGUUACCUUGCCCAAUUUACUAAUCCUUUCUUGUUAGUUUAAUUGAAUUAUGCUGCAGGCUUUGCUGCAUUAUCUGAAGAGAAUCUCACUCGAGGAGGAGAGGGGGAGGAAAGCGAGGCACGGUCAUGCAAGGAUGCAACCUUUUGCAGAAAAUGCAGAGCUCAUCAAUGUUUAUCCACCACUGCUGGAGCGCAUUAAAGGUGUGAGACAAGCUCUAAUGGGGAAGCAGAGAACAGUGAAGGUAUGCAUGUACAAACCAUCUUGACUCUUGUCAUGCUAGUCUGUACCUUUUCAAUUGUUUAAAGUUUAAACUCAAAAGCACAUUGGCCAUCACCAUUCUACCCAUUUGAUGCUUUGCUGCCACAGUAAGCAUGCUCCUCUGCAAUCUGUGUGACUCAAAACUAAUGCCACAAUUUUGGGCAGAGUAGAUGUGAGAUGUGUGCCAGUACAAACUGGCAUCAAGUCCUCAUUUAAGCUUCCUCGAGUGACAGAGAGAAACUCUAUGAUUUAGCUGACUCGACAUGAUAGAUGUAUUCUUUCCUCUAUCUUGGAAAGGUAGUACAAGACAUUCCAGAUACAUAGGCUACUCACCACAAUACUUGGAGUUUUGUUAGCAACAGGAUGCUAAUAUUCCAUGACAACUAACCUGGUCCAUGUUCACAUAAACAAAUACUGUUUCUGGACUUGUACAGACCUAUGCUGUGUGUCUGCAAUACCAGGCUGUGUAGACAAGAAGAUGCACAAAAGUGUGGCCCAUUGCAUUUAUAAUGCAUAGCUGCUUUGUUCAUAGGUUCUUAAUGCCAGUGAAGUAAGAUCAUCUGGAAACAGAGACUCUUUUUGUGAAUGUAGGGAACAUUACCUACAAUUUAGGGCAAAGGAACACUGUUGUUUGUGUGCAGAAACAAGAGACACCAGAGACACUGAUCCAGUGCACUGUGGUUAAAUGCACUCAAACAAAUACUUUAUUGGCUGUGUGUGUACCUGUAAGGUAAACCUAGUAAAAGUAGAGGUGGCAAGUGCUGAGUACUAAAAGGUUUGUUGUAACAUUGGAAUGGAAUUAAAUGUCUGCUUUUAGAUCCUCCAUAGAUCAUAUUUUUGUCUGUGGGAAAAAGAUUGAGAUGUCAACUUCUGCAGGGAGAUUUUGGCAGAGGGAUUUGAGGCAAGGGGCUAUAAUAAUGGAAUGAAAUUAAUGUUUUACAUAUUUCUUCAUGGUUUA